Molecule: ribosomal RNA, 637 nt
Filed under: uncultured marine eukaryote
Lineage: Eukaryota
Description: bacterial SSU rRNA
Rfam family: Eukaryotic small subunit ribosomal RNA
Source: RNAcentral
UACCUGGUUGAUCCUGCCAGUAGUCAUAUGCUUGUUUCGAGGAUUAAGCCAUGCAAGUCUCAGAGUAAAUGGAAUAAAGUAGAUCUGCGAACAGCUCAUUAAACCAGCGAUAACCUACGCGAGAAAACUGCUUUUAGCAGACAAUUGGAUAACUUUGGUAACUACAAAGCUAACACAUGUCAGUAAAGCUUGUUUCACAUCAAACUGUGCCUCCGGGUACGGGGUGGGAUGAGCGGACAUAACCGAAAUGGAAACCAGCGCUUGCAAAAGCAGUGGUUAUUGGAUGAAUCAGGUUAUCUAUCCAGUAGCGGACGCUUCGUGUGCCGCAAGCUCGCAAGGGUUUCUGCCCCAUCAGCUUGUCGAUAGGGUAUUGGCCUAUCGUGGCUUUCACGGGUAACGGGGAAUUAGGGUUCGAUUCCGGAGAGGGAGCCUGAGAAACGGCUACCACAACUAAGGUUGGCAGCAGGCGCGUAAAUUGCCCAAUGGUAACACUUAACCGAGGCAGCGAAGAGAAAUAGCAGGAUUACUCGGCACUGCCGUGUAAUCACUGCAAUGGACGAUAUGUAAAUGUGUCGAUGAGUAUCAAUUGGAGGACAAGUCUGGUGCCAGCACCCGCGGUAAUUCCAGCUCCAAUAGC